This 334-nucleotide long non-coding RNA is filed under the name Apteryx rowi (Okarito brown kiwi). RNAcentral's name for it is "lncRNA (ENSARWG00000014143.1)". Lineage: Eukaryota; Metazoa; Chordata; Aves; Apterygiformes; Apterygidae. The record is from RNAcentral.
UCUGAAAAGACAGUACUUUAAAGGCUUGGCAAACUGUUUUCAAGCUCUUCAGUGCAGAGACUGGGGAUCGGCAAAUCAAAACUAUUUAGGCCUUCAAAGAUGAGACCUAUCUCUUGACCCGAGAUAGUGGCCUAUAAUCAUGAAGGUCUGCUGAAGGAUGUUGUAACAUGGGACCUGGGCCAGAAGAUUCGGUCAUGUGGGCCUAAACACCACAGCAACAAAGGCCACACUACCUGAAGGAGAAGAGCAGAAUAGGCCUGCUGACUGUAACAAGGUCCAUCUCCAAUCCAGUUGCUGCCAGACAAGUCAUGAGGUAAGUCUGGGUCAAACCUGU